GCGGACGUGGCGGAAUUGGUAGACGCGCUAGAUUUAGGUUCUAGUACUGCAAGGUGUGUGGGUUCAAGUCCCUCCGUCCGCA
RNAcentral lists this transfer RNA (82 nucleotides) under Synechococcus sp. PCC 6312. RNAcentral's name for it is "tRNA-Leu (TAG) (tRNA-Leu-TAG-1-1)". It matches the Rfam family "tRNA". Rfam says of the family: Transfer RNA (tRNA) molecules are approximately 80 nucleotides in length. The record is from Rfam by way of RNAcentral. Lineage: Bacteria; Bacillati; Cyanobacteriota; Cyanophyceae; Synechococcales; Synechococcaceae. RNAcentral also lists the same sequence under 1 other name.